Molecule: transfer RNA, 66 nt
Filed under: Bithynia leachii
Lineage: Eukaryota; Metazoa; Mollusca; Gastropoda; Littorinimorpha; Bithyniidae
Description: tRNA-Ala
Source: RNAcentral
GGCUUAUUACUUUAAAUUAAAAGGUUUGAUUUGCAUUCAAAAAAUAAGUCUUAGACUUUUAGGCCA